UAUUUCUCUCUCUCUUUUUUUUCUUACAGCUCUGACCACUCCAUUGUUAUGGCGAGGUUGCAAUAAAUCACCAAGUUGAUCUUAAAGCAGGAGAUGGAAAAUUUAUUCACCAACUGGUGGUUUGGAUCCAGCAGCUGGUGGGCCAAGGAGCAGGCUGCAAAACUACAUCCUUUGACCCCCUCUAGACGUUAGAGUAUACUUUUUAUACCAUAAGUAAAUCAUGUCAGUGCAUUAAUCAUAAGUGGCUGUUGUUAGGAUUUAAAACCAUAAACAAACAUCAUGAGAUCUAAAAUCAUAAGCAGAAGGGGGAGUGGGUCAAAAGGACCCUAGCUGAGUACAAGUUAAAGAAUGGUUACUAACAUCUAGACAAUCAUUCUCUGACAGAGUACAUUGUCCAAGAAAAAUGGGAACCAAAAAGAGAACAAUUUUACAUUGUAUAAGAAUUGCCAUUUUGUGUUGCCAAACACGCUAUGCUAAGCAACUGUUGAUGAGUUCGGAGGUGGGGUGUCCCCAUAGAAGCAUUUCUUACAUGACAUGGAGUCUCAGGGUAAAACGGAGUUUGUUUGGUCAUUGCCCAUAUAGCCUGGCCCAUAACAAUAUGAACUUAAUUAUUAUUGUUUUUGAAAAUCAUUAAUGUAUUUUAAUUUAUGCAUCUUUAGUCCAAACAGACAAGCAUCUCAAAUUCACAAUUAUUUUUUCCAUGGGGAGUUUUUGUUUGUUCUGAUUUUUUAAAUUAAAUUUAUAUUUAACAGAUACAUAAAAAUUGUAUAGAUUAUUGGGUAACAUGAUGUUUCAUUACAUAAUAAAGUAUUUAAAUUUUGUUAAAUAUAUUGAUCUCAAAUAUUCAAAAUAUUAACAUAAUGUUAUUUCCAAACUUUUUAAUUAUUAUUAUUAUUUAUGUUUUCUCUUUCUCUACCACUAGAGGGAAGUCACUAAGGCCAUGCCAUCUUUUCCCUAGUGGAUAUCAGCUCCUAUGAUAGUGUCUAGAACAUGAUAUGAACUGUCACAUUAUUUUUAAUGAAUUGCAUAUUUAAAGGAUACUGUGAUUCAUAAAUAAAUAAAUGGAUACAAAAUGUCUUCUGUAAUAUGAUCAUCUUCAGGUGUUCAUCGUUUGUGAAGUUAAGUCAAGUCACCUAACCUCAUUCACCAUAAUUUUGUUUUUGCC
RNAcentral lists this long non-coding RNA (1165 nucleotides) under Marmota monax (woodchuck). The record is from RNAcentral. Lineage: Eukaryota; Metazoa; Chordata; Mammalia; Rodentia; Sciuridae.